RNAcentral lists this ribosomal RNA (492 nucleotides) under uncultured bacterium. Its description in RNAcentral is "partial 16S ribosomal RNA". It matches the Rfam family "Bacterial small subunit ribosomal RNA", at positions 29 to 507 of the family's 1533-position model. The record is from RNAcentral.
AGUGGACGCUGGCGGCAGGCCUAACACAUGCAAGUCGAACGGCAGCACAGUAAGAGCUUGCUCUUACGGGUGGCGAGUGGCGGACGGGUGAGGAAUACAUCGGAAUCUACUUUUUCGAGGGGGAUAACGUAGGGAAACUUACGCUAAUACCGCAUACGACCUACGGGUGAAAGCAGGGGAUCUUCGGACCUUGCGCGAUUGAAUGAGCCGAUGUCGGAUUAGCUAGUUGGCGGGGUAAAGGCCCACCAAGGCGACGAUCCGUAGCUGGUCUGAGAGGAUGAUCAGCCACACUGGAACUGAGACACGGUCCAGACUCCUACGGGAGGCAGCAGUGGGGAAUAUUGGACAAUGGGCGCAAGCCUGAUCCAGCCAUGCCGCGUGGGUGAAGAAGGCCUUCGGGUUGUAAAGCCCUUUUGUUGGGAAAGAAGAGCAGCAGGUUAAUACCCCGCUGUUCUGACGGUACCCAAAGAAUAAGCACCGGCUAACUUCGUG